Molecule: ribosomal RNA, 443 nt
Filed under: uncultured bacterium
Lineage: Bacteria
Description: partial 16S ribosomal RNA
Rfam family: Bacterial small subunit ribosomal RNA
Source: RNAcentral
CCUACGGGAGGCAGCAGUGGGGAAUAUUGGGCAAUGGAGGAAACUCUGACCCAGCAAAGCCGCGUGAAUGAUGAAGGUCCUAGGAUUGUAAAGUUCUUUUCUAAGGGAAGAAGAAAGUGACGGUACCUUAGGAAUAAGCAUCGGCUAACUACGUGCCAGCAGCCAAGGUAAUGCGUAGGAGGCGAGCGAUAUCCGGAAUGACUGGGCGUAAAGGGUGCGUAGGUGGUUUUGUAAGGUAGUAGCGUAACUCCAAGGCUCAACCUUGGAACUACUACUAAAACUGUUGGACUUGAGUGCAGGAGAGGCAACCGGAAUUCCUAGUGUAGCGGUGGAAUGCGUAGAUAUUAGGAAGAACACCAGUGGCGAAGGCAGGUUGCUAGACUGUUACUGACACUGAGGCACGAAAGCGUGGGGAGCGAACAGGAUUAGAUACCCGAGUAGUC